UGAAAUCUGGCGUCUUUGGCGUCCGAGUUGUAAUUUGCAGAGGGCGCUUUGGCAUUGGCAGCGGUCCAAGUUCCUUGGAACAGGACGUCACAGAGGGUGAGAAUCCCGUACGUGGUCGCUAGCCUUUACCGUGUAAAGCCCCUUCGACGAGUCGAGUUGUUUGGGAAUGCAGCUCUAAAUGGGAGGUAAAUUUCUUCUAAAGCUAAAUACUGGCCAGAGACCGAUAGCGCACAAGUAGAGUGAUCGAAAGAUGAAAAGCACUUUGGAAAGAGAGUUAAAAAGCACGUGAAAUUGUUGAAAGGGAAGCGCUUGCAGCCAGACUUGCCUGUAGUUGCUCAUCCGGGUUUUUACCCGGUGCACUCUUCUACGGGCAGGCCAGCAUCAGUUUGGGCGGUGGGAUAAAGGUCUUUGUCAUGUACCUCCUCUCGGGGAGAUCUUAUAGGGGAGACGACAUGCAACCAGCCUGGAUUGAGGUCCGCGCAUCUGCUAGGAUGCUGGCGUAAUGGCUGUAAGCGGCCCGUCUUGAAACCCGGACCAAGGAGUCUAACAUCUAUGCGAGUGUUUGGGUGUCAAGCCCGAACGCGUAAUGAAAGUGAACGGAGGUGGGAACCUUUCGGGGUGCACCAUCGACCGAUCCUGAUGUCUUCGGAUGGAUUUGAGUAAGAGCAUAGCUGUUGGGACCCGAAAGAUGGUGAACUAUGCUUGAAUAGGGUGAAGCCAGAGGAAACUCUGGUGGAGGCUCGCAGCGGUUCUGACGUGCAAAUCGAUCGUCAAAUUUGGGCAUAGGGCGACAGACUAUCG
RNAcentral lists this ribosomal RNA (801 nucleotides) under Epicoccum nigrum. Its description in RNAcentral is "partial 28S ribosomal RNA". It matches the Rfam family "Eukaryotic large subunit ribosomal RNA", at positions 116 to 937 of the family's 3401-position model. The record is from RNAcentral. Lineage: Eukaryota; Fungi; Ascomycota; Dothideomycetes; Pleosporales; Didymellaceae.